This 205-nucleotide ribosomal RNA is filed under the name uncultured bacterium. RNAcentral describes it as "partial 16S ribosomal RNA". It matches the Rfam family "Bacterial small subunit ribosomal RNA", at positions 568 to 774 of the family's 1533-position model. The record is from RNAcentral.
CGUGCAGGCGGAUUUUAAGUCGGAUGUGAAAACCCCGGGCUUAACCCGGGCCUGCAUCUGAUACUGUUAAUCUUGAGUACGGGAGAGGAAAGCGGAAUUCCAGGUGUAGCGGUGACAUGCGUAGAUAUCUGGAAGAACACCGGUGGCGAAGGCGGCUUUCUGGACCGAUACUGACGCUGAGGCGCGAAAGCCAGGGGAGCAAACA